This 67-nucleotide transfer RNA is filed under the name Dyscophus antongilii (tomato frog). Its description in RNAcentral is "tRNA-Tyr". It matches the Rfam family "tRNA". From Rfam's summary of the family: Transfer RNA (tRNA) molecules are approximately 80 nucleotides in length. Their secondary structure includes four short double-helical elements and three loops (D, anti-codon, and T loops). The record is from RNAcentral. Lineage: Eukaryota; Metazoa; Chordata; Amphibia; Anura; Microhylidae.
GGUAAAGUGGCCGAGUAGGCGGUGGGUUGUAGCCCCAAAGACAGAGGUUUAAGUCCUCUCUUUACUA